UCAUUGAGACUUCGGUGGAUUUGAUCUAUUUCUAGUGGCGGACGGGUGAGUAACGCGUGGGUAACCUGCCUUAUACAGGGGGAUAACAGUCAGAAAUGGCUGCUAAUACCGCAUAAGCGCACAGAGCUGCAUGGCUCAGUGUGAAAAACUCCGGUGGUAUAAGAUGGACCCGCGUUGGAUUAGCUAGUUGGUGGGGUAACGGCCCACCAAGGCGACGAUCCAUAGCCGGCCUGAGAGGGUGAACGGCCACAUUGGGACUGAGACACGGCCCAGACUCCUACGGGAGGCAGCAGUGGGGAAUAUUGCACAAUGGGGGAAACCCUGAUGCAGCGACGCCGCGUGAAGGAAGAAGUAUCUCGGUAUGUAAACUUCUAUCAGCAGGGAAGAUAGUGACGGUACCUGACUAAGAAGCCCCGGCUAACUACGUGCCAGCAGCCGCGGUAAUACGUAGGGGGCAAGCGUUAUCCGGAUUUACUGGGUGUAAAGGGAGCGUACACGGUGUGGCAAGUCUGAUGUGAAAGGCAUGGGCUCAACCUGUGGACUGCAUUGGAAACUGUCAUACUUGAGUGCCGGAGGGGUAAGCGGAAUUCCUAGUGUAGCGGCGAAAUGCGUAGAUAUUAGGAGGAACACCAGUGGCGAAGGCGGCUUACUGGACGGUAACUGACGU
RNAcentral lists this ribosomal RNA (667 nucleotides) under uncultured bacterium. RNAcentral's name for it is "bacterial SSU rRNA". It matches the Rfam family "Bacterial small subunit ribosomal RNA", at positions 64 to 746 of the family's 1533-position model. The record is from RNAcentral.